This 427-nucleotide ribosomal RNA is filed under the name uncultured Acidobacteriota bacterium. RNAcentral describes it as "bacterial SSU rRNA". It matches the Rfam family "Bacterial small subunit ribosomal RNA", at positions 958 to 1385 of the family's 1533-position model. The record is from RNAcentral. Lineage: Bacteria; Pseudomonadati; Acidobacteriota.
AACGCGAAGAACCUUACCUGGGCUUGAACCGCUACUGACCAAGGGUAGAAAUAUCCUCUUCCCGCAAGGGACAGUAGUAGAGGUGCUGCAUGGCUGUCGUCAGCUCGUGCCGUGAGGUGUUGGGUUAAGUCCCGCAACGAGCGCAACCCUUACUCGUAGUUGCUACCCGCAAGGGAGAACUCUACGAGGACUGCUCCGGAUAACGGAGAGGAAGGUGGGGAUGACGUCAAGUCAGCACGGCCUUUAUGUCCAGGGCUACACACGUGUUACAAUGCAUGGUACAGACUGUUGCGAACCCGCGAGGGGGAGCUAAUCGGCCAAAGCCAUGCUCAGUUCGGAUUGCAGUCUGCAACUCGACUGCAUGAAGCUGGAAUCGCUAGUAAUGGCGCAUCAGAUCGGCGCCGUGAAUACGUUCCCGGGCCUUGUA